GCGCGAAACCUCUGCAAUAGGCGAAAGCUUGACAGGGUUACUCUGAGUGAUUUCCGUUAAGGAGAUCUUUUGGCACCUCUAAAAAUGGUGCAGAAUAAGGGGUGGGCAAGUCUGGUGUCAGCCGCCGCGGUAAUACCAGCACCCCGAGUGGUCGGGACGUUUAUUGGGCCUAAAGCAUCCGUAGCCGGUUCUACAAGUCUUCCGUUAAAUCCACCUGCUUAACAGAUGGGCUGCGGAAGAUACUAUAGAGCUAGGAGGCGGGAGAGGCAAGCGGUACUCAGUGGGUAGGGGUAAAAUCCGUUGAUCCACUGAAGACCACCAGUGGCGAAGGCGGCUUGCCAGAACGCGCUCGACGGUGAGGGAUGAAAGCUGGGGGAGCAAACCGGAUUAGAUACCCGGGUAGUCCCAGCUGUAAACGAUGCAGACUCGGUGAUGAGUUGGCUUAUUGCUAACUCAGUGCCGCAGGGAAGCCGUUAAGUUUGCCGCCUGGGGAGUACGGUCGCAAGACUGAAACUUAA
Molecule: ribosomal RNA, 518 nt
Filed under: uncultured Nitrososphaerota archaeon
Lineage: Archaea; Thermoproteati; Nitrososphaerota
Description: bacterial SSU rRNA
Rfam family: Archaeal small subunit ribosomal RNA
Source: RNAcentral